GAUGAAGAACGUAACGAAAUGCGAUAAGUAAUGUGAAUUGCAGAAUUCAGUGAAUCAUCGAAUCUUUGAACGCACAUUGCGCCCGCCAGUAUUCUGGCGGGCAUGCCUGUUCGAGCGUCAUUUCAACCAUCAAGCCCCAGGCUUGUGUUGGGGACCUGCGGCUGCCGCAGGCCCUGAAAACCAGUGGCGGGCUCGCUGUCACACCGGGCGUAGUAGAUUUUAUCUCGCUCAGGGCGUGCUGCGGGUUCCGGCCGUUAAAAAGCCUUUUUUACCCAAGGUUGACCUCGGAUCAGGUAGGAAUACCCGCUGAACUUAAGCAUAUCAAUAAGCGGAGGA
RNAcentral lists this unclassified non-coding RNA (336 nucleotides) under soil metagenome. Its description in RNAcentral is "partial contains 5.8S ribosomal RNA, internal transcribed spacer 2, and large subunit ribosomal RNA". The stretch from base 1 to 120 matches the Rfam family "5.8S ribosomal RNA", at positions 35 to 154 of the family's 154-position model. The record is from RNAcentral.